Sus scrofa (pig) is the source of this 3898-nucleotide non-coding RNA. The record is from RefSeq and is a predicted model, not a curated record. Lineage: Eukaryota; Metazoa; Chordata; Mammalia; Artiodactyla; Suidae.
UGGGAGUCGUAGUUGCAAGUGUCUGCUCUGGAAGAGAGAUCAGAGGGCAUGGGAGUCAGCCCGCCCCCUAGCUACUUGAGCUUGCGUUUUUUCCGCUUCUCUCUUUCGUUCUCUCACGGGCGGAGCCUUCUGUGAGCACUGCAGGAUUUGUCGGUGCUACCGUCUUUCUUCUGGGUUUCAAUAAAGUUUUCCUUUUGCUCCCCUUGUACGGAGCUCAAGAUGGCGGCCUCCUGGUCGCCCUUGGUUACCCUCCGCUUAGCGCAGAGCCGGUUGAGAGGGAGAUGUGUUGGGUGCAGGGCCUGGGCCGCUGCUCUCGCCCCUCCGGCCACCGCCCCUGGAAACUCUCUCUGUAAAGCCUAUACAGUUCAGACCUCCGAGAGUAUAUCUCCAGCUGCUGCUACAGAGGCUUAUUCAAAAGCUUUGGCUGUUUGCCAUGGACCACUGGACCACUAUGACUUUCUGAUCAAAGCUCGUGAGCUAAAGGAUGAUGAACAUCAAAGAAGAGUCAUACGGUGUUUGCAGAAAUUACAUGAGGACCUUAAAGGAUACAGUAUAGAGGCAGAGGGCCUUUUUUCAAAGCUUUUUUCAAGGAGCAAACCUCCAAGGGGCCUGUAUGUUUAUGGAGAUGUUGGUACAGGGAAAACAAUGGUGAUGGACAUGUUUUAUGCUUAUGUGGAAAUGGAGAAGAAAAAACGGGUUCACUUUCAUGGUUUCAUGCUAGAUGUUCACAAAAGAAUACACCGCCUUAAACAGAGUUUGCCGAAAAGGAAACCAGGAUUCAUGGCUAAAUCAUAUGAUCCGAUAGCUCCCAUAGCUGAAGAAAUCAGUGAAGAAGCAUGUCUCUUAUGUUUUGAUGAAUUUCAGGUCACUGACAUCGCUGAUGCCAUGAUUCUGAAACAGCUUUUUGAAAAUCUGUUCAAAAACGGGGUCGUCGUUGUGGCAACAUCCAACAGGCCACCGGAAGAUCUCUAUAAAAAUGGACUCCAAAGAGCUAACUUUGUACCGUUCAUAGCUGUACUUAAGGAAUACUGUAAUACUGUCCAGCUAGACUCUGGGAUAGAUUAUCGGAAAAGGGAACUUCCUGCUGCAGGAAAACUCUACUACCUCACAAGUGAAGCUGAUGUGGAGGCUGUCAUGGAUAAGUUGUUUGAUGAGCUGGCUCAGAAACAAAAUGAUUUAACUAGACCAAGGAUUCUAAAAGUGCAAGGCAGAGAGCUGCGACUGAAUAAAGCCUGUGGAACCAUUGCCGACUGCACAUUUGAAGAGCUAUGUGAGAGAGGCAAAAGGCAGCCUGGUGGUAACGCUUGUGCCUUUCACACUGGUGUGGCACUGAGAAAAUCCUCGCUCCUGGCACCAGGGUCAAACCAAAGCAGACAGCUGUGCCGUUUCUCAUACAGGAGAAAGAAGACAGCAGCCACUUGGCGCCAGUGACUAUUUGGAAUUGUCAAAGAAUUUUGAUACAGUAUUUUUACGAAACAUUCCACAAUUUACCCUGGCAAAGAGGACCCAUGCUCGGAGAUUCAUAACUCUCAUUGAUAACUUUUAUGAUUUGAAGGUGCGUAUAAUUUGCUCUGCAUCAGCUCCCAUAGCGAGCUUAUUUUUGUAUGAACAUCAUGACAGUGAGUUGGAGCAAAGCAGAAUACUGAUGGAUGAUUUGGGGCUGAGCCAGGACUCAGCGGAAGGACUCGCCAUGUUUACUGGAGAAGAAGAAGUCUUUGCAUUUCAGCGCACAAUUUCCCGACUCACAGAAAUGCAGACUGAACAGUACUGGAAUGAAGGGGACAGAAGCAAGAAGUAAUCAUCACUUUCACAUGAAUAAAACUGGGCAAAUGAUUGCCGCAGGGAGAACUCUUUAUUAUGGGACUUGAAGGAAUCAUUUUCUCAUCAUUAAUUAUGCACUUUGUCCUCUGGACCAUUUUUAUCUAAAAUUGCUGUCAAAGAUGUAGUGGAUUAGUAAGUUAAAGCCAUUUUUAGAUCUACUUUUUACCUAUUUAUUUGGCCUUAUUUCUGCACCACAAAAUUAAAAUCAGCGCUCCUGAAGAUGAAUGCAGGACCAGACAUUUUGGCUUCAUAUUAAGCCACCUGAAUGAACCUUGAAUACACACACUUGGUAAACGCAGGGUGCCUGGACAUCUCCAGCUUUGGCUACAUGGUAGUGGCAUGAUACAAACACAUCUUUUAUGAAUUUAAAGAAAGCUUUCUGAUCUUAUUUUAAACUAAAGUCAAUAACAUUUUAGAAUAUGGACUUAUCUCAUGGAUUGGGGGGUGGGGGCUAUAAACUACACUCUCCUUACAACAGAGAGUAUGUUUUUCACUCUGAGUUCAUAUUUGGCAGGCAGGACUUGAUGUCCAGCAGACAUGCAGUUUCCUGAAAAAAAAAAAAAAAAUCAAGGAUCAUGAUGCCAUAGAAUAAGGAAGAAGGCUGUCAAAUUCCAAUCGACAGGAAGUUUCCCCCAACUCUGACAGCCAGGAGGAGGACAGACACCAGGAAUGGGGACCAAUGAGAGGGUAUCAGGAGAGGCAGAGUCCUGGACAUGCCAAGCAACAGAGUGGACUCCUGCUCAGGUGAGGCCUCGGGACCCCAGGGACCAUGGCUCCUUCCUGCUACUCCCUUGCAUUUGCUCGGGUCACAGGAUGUCACCCCCACCCAUGCCUCAGCUUCUGCAGUACCAUGGGCCCAACAAUAAAGAGGGAAGAACGCCUGAUGAACCUACUUAAAUAAAAUCCAGUUUGUCCUCUAUCAAAGUCUAUCCCUGACUCAUUCAGAUACAACCUGACUUUGCUAACCAUGGUUGCAGAAGGAAUUUUGGUUGAGGCUCUUACAAGAGUAAAUCCCUCUACAAGAAAAGAAAGAGAAAAGAAAAUGUGAAAUCCACAAACUUUUGUGAAAAUCAAAUAUUUGGGGGGAAUAGGCACAGGUGAGUCUGUUCAUAUAAUGAAUACAGUUGUCAACAUAAGUAAGCUCUUUGAACUAUGUAAUUUCUAAGUUAAUAAUCGAUCUCUCUUAGUCUAUAGUUGACAUUAACCUCAGUCAAUCAGAUGGAUAGAUAGGGUCCCCAAGUCCAGAGACACAAUGAAAUCAAGGCUUCUGAAAAUUAAAUGUGAUUUUAAAAUAUUUUUAUUGAAGUUAAACAGUGAGUUCCAAAAAGAGGUUAAAUAGGUUAUGAGAGAGAAAAGAUGGGGAAUAACCACUGUGUGCCAGAAUUAUUGCUGGAUGUUUAUUAAUCUCAGGCAAAAAAUUAUUCCUAGAGAAACAACAUCAUCAUCAUCCCUGUUUAUAGAGAAGAAAACCGAGGCUUGGAAAAGUAGCUUGACCCAAGAUUCAGAGUUUACAAGUACAAAACUCAUGUACUGUGUUUUAUACCACACCACCUCUAUAAAAGUGAGAUCAUUUUAAAUAGUGGUUCUUUUUUGUUUAACUCAGUGAAAAUGAAUUUACAAUAGAACCAUUGCUUUGAACUCAAUAAAUAUAAAAUGUACUGUGCUAAUCAAAUUUGUGCAUUUUCAGUGGGAUUUCAAAUUUUAGUCAUAAGGCAAUUAUUUUCAUUUCCCUGAAUAUAUUUCUGGUACCUACAAGUGUGCAAUAACAUAAUUUUUAAAUUACUUGGAAUUUUGAGAAAAAUUAAAAUAUUAUUUGUAAAAUAUGUAAAUGGAUGUACUCAUAUCCAUUUAUUUAACAUUAUUUAAGAAACGUCAUGCUUUAUAUGUACUGGGCAUGGUUCCAAGUGCUUUAUAAAUAAAAUAUUUUGAUCCUUAUAAUAAUUCUAUUUUACCAUUUGUGGAUGGGAAGCUGAAGCACAGAAAACAGGUACAACUACAUACUGAAUUGCUAAGAUGUACAUGGGAGUUAGUAAAAUGAUCAAAACACUGAUUUAAUAAACUUACAUGUAAUUGCCUC